GCCCGUUUGGCUCAGCGGUAGAGCGCCGCACUAGUAAAGCUAGAGAAUGCGGAGGCGACUGGUUCGACUCCAGUAAUGGGCA
This is a non-coding RNA of Whalleya microplaca, 82 nucleotides long. NCBI's taxonomy places the organism in Eukaryota, Fungi, Ascomycota, Sordariomycetes, Xylariales, Xylariaceae. The record is from the annotation of a GenBank genome assembly.